CACAUUGUACUUCCUCCUACCAAUCACAGUGUUGUAGGAUCACAGUGUUGUAGGAUCACAGUGUUGUAGGAUCACAGUGCUGUAGGAUCACAGUGUUGUAGCCCUGAAUUAAAGUCUCUCCAAAUCCACCAAUAUCCCCCAUUUUAUAGUUCAAUCUGUGAUUACAGCAAUGUCCCAGAGGAGAGCAGCACAUGAAUACAAGGUAUUAAGGAAUGAUUAUAUUUCAAUGACUGGCAAUACAGCUUGAUCAUUUCUGGUGAGAAGUUGAAUUAAUAUGAAAUGAGUUCCUUUAAAAAGUAUCCGUCUUGAUGAUUAUAGUGUAGAUGUAAAUGGAAAAUGUAUUAGCAUGAGGAUUUCACUAGCAACAGAACGGACGUCACAUUCCCAAGCUAAUUCCAGAAGAGAACGGACGUCACAUUCCCAAGCUAAUUCCAGAAGAGAACGGACGUCACAUUCCCAAGCUAAUUCCAGAAGAGAACGGACGUCACAUUCCUAAGCUAAUUCCAGAAGAGAACGGACGUCACAUUCCCAAGCUAAUUCCAGAACAGAACGGAGGUCACAUUCCAAAGCUUAUUCCAGAACAGAACAGAGGUCACAUUCCAAAGCUUAUUCGAGAACAGAACGGAGGUCACAUUCCCAAGCUAAUUCCAGAAGAGAACGGACGUCACAUUCCCAAGCUAAUUCCAGAAGAGAACGGACGUCACAUUCCAAAGCUUAUUCCAGAACAGAACAGAGGUCACAUUCCAAAGCUUAUUCGAGAACAGAACGGAGGUCACAUUCCAAAGCUUAUUCCAGAACAGAAUGGACGCCACAUCUCCAAGCUAAUUCCAGAAGAGAACAGAUGUGACAUCCAAAGCUAAUUCCAGAAGAGAACGGACGUCACAUUCCCAAGCUAAUUCCAGAACAGAACGGAGGUCACAUCUCCAUGCUAAUUCCAAAAUAGAACUGACCUCACAUUCCCAUGCUAAUUCCAGAACAGAAGACACAGUUACCCUAGAUGUUCACGUUUAGUAGAAUUAGGAGUGUGAUUAGACAUACUUUAAGGAGGACGGUGAAAUUCCAUCUCAGUAGACGGUAGAUUGAUAAUGAAACACAGUCACCAUAUGGAGGAGCAUUUCCUCACUAUCCGAAAGACAAAUCUGAUUUGUCCACAGACG
This 1157-nucleotide long non-coding RNA is filed under the name Salmo salar (Atlantic salmon). Its description in RNAcentral is "lncRNA (ENSSSAG00000118495.1)". The record is from RNAcentral. Lineage: Eukaryota; Metazoa; Chordata; Actinopteri; Salmoniformes; Salmonidae.